This 502-nucleotide unclassified non-coding RNA is filed under the name Sebacinales sp. 6 CG-2012. RNAcentral's name for it is "sequence contains ITS1, 5.8S rRNA gene, ITS2". The stretch from base 177 to 331 matches the Rfam family "5.8S ribosomal RNA". The record is from RNAcentral. Lineage: Eukaryota; Fungi; Basidiomycota; Agaricomycetes; Sebacinales. RNAcentral also lists the same sequence under 1 other name.
UAAAAGAGUUCAAAAGACUCUCCAAACCCACUGCGAACAUACCUGUAUCGUUGCUUCGGCGGGCGGCCCCAGGGCGGGGCCUGGGCCGGACCUCUUCGGAGUCAGGUGCCCGCCGACGGCCCUUAUAAACUCUUGUAUAUAGGCAUUCUGAGCGACGAAGAUGGAAACGAAUUAAAAACUUUCAACGACGGAUCUCUUGGUUCUGGCAUCGAUGAAGAACGCAGCGAAAUGCGAUAAGUAAUGCGAAUUGCAGAAUCCCAGUGAAUCAUCGAAUCUUUGAACGCACAUUGCGCCCAUUAGCAUUCUGAUGGGCAUGCCUGUUCGAGCGUCAUUUCAACCCUCAGGCUCUUAGCUGGCCCGGCGUUGGGGCAUCUGCGACGAUCGCAGGCCCUAAAAGACAGUGGCGGUACCCGUUAGCACUCCGGGCGUAGUAGAUUUAUUUCUCGCCUAGGACGUCUAGCGGGCUUGCCGGCCGUAAAACGCUCUAAUCUUCGGAAGGUUG